GACGAACGCUGGCGGCGUGCUUAACACAUGCAAGUCGAACGGAAAGGCCCUGCUUUUGUGGGGUGCUCGAGUGGCGAACGGGUGAGUAACACGUGAGUAACCUGCCCUUGACUUUGGGAUAACUUCAGGAAACUGGGGCUAAUACCGGAUAGGAGCUCCUGCUGCAUGGUGGGGGUUGGAAAGUUUCGGCGGUUGGGGAUGGACUCGCGGCUUAUCAGCUUGUUGGUGGGGUAGUGGCUUACCAAGGCUUUGACGGGUAGCCGGCCUGAGAGGGUGACAGGCCACAUUGGGACUGAGAUACGGCCCAGACUCAUACGGGAGGCAGCAGUGGGGAAUAUUGCACAAUGGGCGGAAGCCUGAUGCAGCAACGCCGCGUGCGGGAUGACGGCCUUCGGGUUGUAAACCGCUUUCGCCUGUGACGAAGCGUGAGUGAGGGUAAUGGGGAAAGAAGCACCGGCAAACUACGG
This 467-nucleotide ribosomal RNA is filed under the name uncultured bacterium. RNAcentral's name for it is "partial 16S ribosomal RNA". It matches the Rfam family "Bacterial small subunit ribosomal RNA", at positions 28 to 506 of the family's 1533-position model. The record is from RNAcentral.